Molecule: ribosomal RNA, 253 nt
Filed under: Streptococcus agalactiae
Lineage: Bacteria; Bacillati; Bacillota; Bacilli; Lactobacillales; Streptococcaceae
Description: partial 16S ribosomal RNA
Rfam family: Bacterial small subunit ribosomal RNA
Source: RNAcentral
UUUAAUGAGAGUUUGAUCCUGGCUCAGGACGAACGCUGGCGGCGUGCCUAAUACAUGCGAGUAGAACGCUGAGGUUUGGUGUUUACACUAGACUGAUGAGUUGCGAACGGGUGAGUAACGCGUAGGUAACCUGCCUCAUAGCGGGGGAUAACUAUUGGAAACGAUAGCUAAUACCGCAUAAGAGUAAUUAACACAUGUUAGUUAUUUAAAAGGAGCAAUUGCUUCACUGUGAGAUGGACCUGCGUUGUAUUAG